This 492-nucleotide ribosomal RNA is filed under the name uncultured bacterium. RNAcentral's name for it is "partial 16S ribosomal RNA". It matches the Rfam family "Bacterial small subunit ribosomal RNA", at positions 29 to 507 of the family's 1533-position model. The record is from RNAcentral.
AGUGAACGCUGGCGGUAGGCCUAACACAUGCAAGUCAAACGGCAGCACAGUAAGAGCUUGCUCUUACGAGUGGCGAGUGGCGGACGGGUGAGGAAUACAUCGGAAUCUACUUUUUCGUGGGGGAUCACGUAGGGAAACUUACGCUAAUACCGCAUACGACCUACGGGUGAAAGCAGGGGAUCUUCGGACCUUGCGCGGUUGAAUGAGCCGAUGUCGGAUUAGCUAGUUGGCGGGGUAAAGGCCCACCAAGGCGACGAUCCGUAGCUGGUCUGAGAGGAUGAUCAGCCACACUGGAACUGAGACACGGUCCAGACUCCUACGGGAGGCAGCAGUGGGGAAUAUUGGACAAUGGGCGCAAGCCUGAUCCAGCCAUACCGCGUGGGUGAAGAAGGCCUUCGGGUUGUAAAGCCCUUUUGUUGGGAAAGAAAAGCAGCAGGUUAAUACCCCGCUGUUCUGACGGUACCCAAAGAAUAAGCACCGGCUAACUUCGUG